GGUCGUAAAGUUCUGUUGUUAGGGAAGAACAAGUACCAGAGUAACUGCUGGUACCUUGACGGUACCUAACCAGAAAGCCACGGCUAACUACGUGCCAGCAGCCGCGGUAAUACGUAGGUGGCAAGCGUUGUCCGGAAUUAUUGGGCGUAAAGCGCGCGCAGGUGGUUCCUUAAGUCUGAUGUGAAAGCCCACGGCUCAACCGUGGAGGGUCAUUGGAAACUGGGGAACUUGAGUGCAGAAGAGGAAAGUGGAAUUCCAAGUGUAGCGGUGAAAUGCGUAGAGAUUUGGAGGAACACCAGUGGCGAAGGCGACUUUCUGGUCUGUAACUGACACUGAGGCGCGAAAGCGUGGGGAGCAAACAGGAUUAGAUACCCUGGUAGUCCACGCCGUAAACGAUGAGUGCUAAGUGUUAGAGGGUUUCCGCCCUUUAGUGCUGCAGCUAA
Molecule: ribosomal RNA, 443 nt
Filed under: Peribacillus muralis
Lineage: Bacteria; Bacillati; Bacillota; Bacilli; Caryophanales; Bacillaceae
Description: bacterial SSU rRNA
Rfam family: Bacterial small subunit ribosomal RNA
Source: RNAcentral